RNAcentral lists this ribosomal RNA (146 nucleotides) under Azospirillum sp. BE72. RNAcentral describes it as "partial 23S ribosomal RNA". It matches the Rfam family "Bacterial large subunit ribosomal RNA", at positions 2768 to 2925 of the family's 2925-position model. Lineage: Bacteria; Pseudomonadati; Pseudomonadota; Alphaproteobacteria; Rhodospirillales; Azospirillaceae. The record is from RNAcentral.
CCGCUGAAAGCAUCUAAGCGGGAAACCCACCUCUAAACCAGAGCUCCCUUGAGAGCCGUGACAGACCAUCACGUCGAUAGGAGGCAUGUGGACGGGCAGCAAUGCUUGAAGCUAAGCCUUACUAAUCGCUCGAUCGGCUUGAUCUC